AAGAAUUGUCCGUUUUUUCGAGAACGGGUUCUAUUCAAACCGUGUAUACAUAUACCUUUGUUGCUUUGGCAGGCCGCCCCCCGGGGCGUUGGCUCCGGCUAACUGCGCCUGCCAGAGGACCCAAAUCCUUUUGUUUAGUGAUGUCUGAGUACUAUAUAAUAGUUA
RNAcentral lists this unclassified non-coding RNA (165 nucleotides) under uncultured Ascomycota. Its description in RNAcentral is "sequence contains ITS1". The record is from RNAcentral. Lineage: Eukaryota; Fungi; Ascomycota.